This 1220-nucleotide long non-coding RNA is filed under the name Oryctolagus cuniculus (rabbit). Its description in RNAcentral is "lncRNA (ENSOCUG00000033851.1)". Lineage: Eukaryota; Metazoa; Chordata; Mammalia; Lagomorpha; Leporidae. The record is from RNAcentral.
GGUCGAUCCCACGGGAGCGCAUCAGCGACUGCUCGCGCCAUCCACUAGACCUGGGUCUGAAUACUAUACUCACACUGUGCGUCCUUGUGGCUGGAGAAGGGGUGAAGGGCCCGGGCCUCCAGCAGUUCCAGGGACUGUGGUAGAGGGGUUCCCCGCGCCUCCCCAAGCCCAGGCCGCUUACCGGUCUUUGCACCGUGGGCACAGGGCAGGUCGGCCUUGGGUUCCCCUCCGCACGCGCAGCGACCCCGGGCUGUCUGCAGAGUGUAAGAAGUUGGGCCGACCUGGGUAGGGCUUGCACCUGCGUGACUCAGAGUCCUGGCCAGACCUGCUAAUCCGUGAUUCUGGGCCUGGGCUCCGAGGUUUGAGCCGCUUCCCUGGAAUCCCUGCGCUGCCCUAACCUGUUGGGGACCUGUGGCAAGUAGGGAGGAGGCCAAAGCAGCCAGAUCCUUGCGGGACCGGCGGGCACCCCGUUCAUCAAGGGAAUUGCCACACCCCAACUCCCGGCUGAGCGCGCCCCUGUGGAGGGAGCAGCUGAGAGGCAGCCCCUGGGCUGGAGGCCUCACAACACACACCUGUACAUGCUCCUUAUCACAGGUGCUAAUCGGAGCUUCAGCCCUGCCCUGGGGAUCUGCAGGUGAAUUAUAGGAGAUCACUGGGCGGCGUCCUGGUUCCUGCUUGGUCCCUGAAUAUCCUCAACCCAGCAAACCCCAGGUACCUGGGGUUGAGUCACCUGUAGGUUUGAACUUUUCUCCGUGGUUUGCCAAAUCCCUCAAUUUCCCUCCAGACCUUAUCCUUCUGACCCCUUAAGCUUGAAGCGCUUGUGUCCCCAUAUUCAAACCCACGGCAUAACCAGCAUCCGCCACUUCUUCCCACCAUCUUGUGUUCACACCUUGGCCAGACCACAAGCAUCUCCUUCAUUCACACGGCUGGAGCAUCAGUCUGCCCACAGCCUGCCUUUGGCCAUGACAGUUCUGGGCUACAACUUGAACCAGGACCCAACCCCUGCCACACUGGCUUGGCCUGUGUACAGGGUAAAAGGCUCCAUGGACACCAAAUGACUCCCUCUUCCCAGACACACCUGGAGCAGCUCCCUUUGCCUGGAAGGACCUCACAGUUUCCGUGGACCGAUCACCUCACUGCCUUUCCUGCAUGACCGUCCUGCCCCUGGGGCCACACUCAGCAGCUCAGCAUCUUGGCUCUCUCCUCUUCCUCCCAACUCC